GGUGGCUCAAUGGUAGAGCACUUGCCUUGCAUGCAGGAGGCCCUGGGUUCAAUUCCUCAGCACCA
Molecule: transfer RNA, 65 nt
Filed under: Dipodomys ordii (Ord's kangaroo rat)
Lineage: Eukaryota; Metazoa; Chordata; Mammalia; Rodentia; Heteromyidae
Rfam family: tRNA
About the family: Transfer RNA (tRNA) molecules are approximately 80 nucleotides in length. Their secondary structure includes four short double-helical elements and three loops (D, anti-codon, and T loops).
Source: Rfam by way of RNAcentral